RNAcentral lists this long non-coding RNA (236 nucleotides) under Eucalyptus grandis. Its description in RNAcentral is "long non-coding RNA (EGRA_LNC003996)". Lineage: Eukaryota; Viridiplantae; Streptophyta; Magnoliopsida; Myrtales; Myrtaceae. The record is from RNAcentral.
GGGAGAGGAGUUGGGUAGGAGGCAGCAACGCUGGAGGUCGAAGAAGAAGCAGGCGAAGAUGGAUGCAGAGAUGGAGGCAAAUUGCAAGAGAGCAUUUUGAAUAAAAGAGUGGGUCUUAUCCGCAAAAGACAGAGGAGAGAGAAAGGAGGAAGACAAAGUCGCUGGUGUGCGCCCUCAGCCUCAUCCCUCGCAACCUCCCCUUGCCCCCCGACCUGCAGCUGUCUCCUCCAUCUGCG